GCGACAGGCUUAACACAUGCAAGUCGAGGGGCAGCACAGGUAGCAAUACCGGGUGGCGACCGGCGCACGGGUGAGUAACGCGUAUGCAACUUACCUAUCAGAGGGGGAUAACCCGGCGAAAGUCGGACUAAUACCGCAUGAAGCAGGGGCCCCGCAUGGGGAUAUUUGCUAAAGAUUCAUCGCUGAUAGAUAGGCAUGCGUUCCAUUAGGCAGUUGGCGGGGUAACGGCCCACCAAGCCGACGAUGGAUAGGGGUUCUGAGAGGAAGGUCCCCCACAUUGGUACUGAGACACGGACCAAACUCCUACGGGAGGCAGCAGUGAGGAAUAUUGGUCAAUGGCCGAGAGGCUGAACCAGCCAAGUCGCGUGAGGGAUGAAGGUUCUAUGGAUCGUAAACCUCUUUUAUAAGGGAAUAAAGUGCGGGACGUGUCCCGUUUUGUAUGUACCUUAUGAAUAAGGAUCGGCUAACUCCGUGCCAGCAGCCGCGGUAAUACGGAGGAUCCGAGCGUUAUCCGGAUUUAUUGGGUUUAAAGGGUGCGUAGGCGGCCUUUUAAGUCAGCGGUGAAAGUCUGUGGCUCAACCAUAGAAUUGCCGUUGAAACUGGGGGGCUUGAGUAUGUUUGAGGCAGGCGGAAUGCGUGGUGUAGCGGUGAAAUGCAUAGAUAUCACGCAGAACCCCGAUUGCGAAGGCAGCCUGCCAAGCCAUGACUGACGCUGAUGCACGAAAGCGUGGGGAUCAAACAGGAUUGGAUACCCUGGUAGUCCACGCAGUAAACGAUGAUCACUAGCUGUUUGCGAUACACUGUAAGCGGCACAGCGAAAGCGUUAAGUGAUCCACCUGGGGAGUACGCCGGCAACGGUGAAACUCAAAGGAAUUGACGGGGGCCCGCACAAGCGGAGGAACAUGUGGUUUAAUUCGAUGAUACGCGAGGAACCUUACCCGGGUUUGAACGCAUUCGGACCGAGGUGGAAACACCUUUUCUAGCAAUAGCCGUUUGCGAGGUGCUGCAUGGUUGUCGUCAGCUCGUGCCGUGAGGUGUCGGCUUAAGUGCCAUAACGAGCGCAACCCUUGCCACUAGUUACUAACAGGUAAAGCUGAGGACUCUGGUGGGACUGCCAGCGUAAGCUGCGAGGAAGGCGGGGAUGACGUCAAAUCAGCACGGCCCUUACAUCCGGGGCGACACACGUGUUACAAUGGCGUGGACAAAGGGAAGCCACCUGGCGACAGGGAGCGAAUCCCCAAACCACGUCUCAGUUCGGAUCGGAGUCUGCAACCCGACUCCGUGAAGCUGGAUUCGCUAGUAAUCGCGCAUCAGCCAUGGCGCGGUGAAUACGUUCCCGGGCCUUGUACACACCGCCCGUCAAGCCAUGGGAGCCGGGGGUACCUGAAGUCCGUAACCGCGAGGAUCGGCCUAGGGUAAAACUGGUGACUGGGGCUAAGU
This 1440-nucleotide ribosomal RNA is filed under the name uncultured organism. Its description in RNAcentral is "16S ribosomal RNA". It matches the Rfam family "Bacterial small subunit ribosomal RNA". The record is from RNAcentral.